CCCAUCUAGUUAUCUGAUGUUACAGACGCUCAGCAUGACACAGCAGAAGAGAGUGGGUGAAUAGUUAGUUACAGGGCUCCAGUGACACUCAUUUCUAUUUAAUUCUCUUUGCAUUAGUCAGGCUGUUUAAGUGGACCCUGAUGUAAAUAUGAAUUGAGUCUCUCUGGAGCUGUUUGCUUGCUUCCCUGGAUGGCAAAGGAAGCCACACCAGGCAUACGGCGUGACCCCAUGGCAGAUGUCCCAUCCUCCAGCUUUACUCCCAUGCCUAGGAGACAGGGGCUAAAAUCAAAGACCCACUCAUUUGCCUACUCAGGUGGCAGUCCUUUACAAAGGAUCUCUCAGGAAGCUGAGUUUGGAUUUUUAUUUCCAGAGCACCUACCUGCUUUGCACGAGCCUGGACCUGAUUGCCCCAUUACAGAAAAACAGGGUACUCAUGAUGAGGCCAUGAAGUUCCCCCAGUCAGAAACCAAGGCUGUUGGGAAACUUCUCAAGAAAGGUUCUCAAGGGCCAUUGCUGGAGUGAGCAGAUCUUCUGAGACUUGUCAGCUUUGAG
RNAcentral lists this long non-coding RNA (552 nucleotides) under Cyanistes caeruleus (blue tit). RNAcentral describes it as "lncRNA (ENSCCEG00000011232.1)". Lineage: Eukaryota; Metazoa; Chordata; Aves; Passeriformes; Paridae. The record is from RNAcentral.